GUGAUGCUCAGGAGGUUGUUAACGGUUUCUCUAAGGUCAUAAUUGGUCUCAGCUGGCGCCAGGGCGAGGCAGUCUCCUAAACAGAAAACACCUGAAACUGAUCAGCAGCGUCUCAGUAAAAUCUUAGGAGUGGGGAGAAGUAAUGCAAGAUCCCGGAAGUCACAGCAGCUUACUGUUUUAUCCCUAGGCAUCUGAAUCUCAGGUGGAAUUCUUACUGAAGCUCAAAAAUUAGUAGGCCAGGCUCACACUGCCAAGGAAGCGGAGUACCAGAGACUUCAGCUUUCAGUCUGGAGAGAGAGAGUGGCUUAUCUCCACCUGAAAAAAUCUGAAGAUGCAGUAGAGGAAAAUAACUAAGAGCACAGAUUUUGGAGCCAUACAGCUUGGGAUACAAUCCCUUCCGUGCUGGCAGUUUCUUUUCUGGUCAUGAAUCAGAUAUGGUGAAGGAAUAAGAUUUUUGUGUUCACAGAAUCCUCAGAACCUUCAGCCUUUCCAUGAAGUUGAAAUUAGAUCCUCUGUUUUGGUAGCCCUGGCACUUAUUUGCACUUCAUGGGUUUUGGUUAUCUUCAGUUUAAUUGAAGAUGGUGCUUGCAGUUUUUAUUCUUCUCCUUUGUAAAGCAAUGUUUCUGUCUGUUAUAACUGUAUGGAAUAUGUAAUAAAAAAGUGCUGUCAAAUCA
Gorilla gorilla gorilla (western lowland gorilla) is the source of this 674-nucleotide long non-coding RNA. RefSeq lists it as uncharacterized. The transcript is spliced from 5 exons. The record is from RefSeq and is a predicted model, not a curated record. Lineage: Eukaryota; Metazoa; Chordata; Mammalia; Primates; Hominidae.